AUCAAAAACAUCACCUCUAGCAUAACUAGUAUUAGAGGCACUGCCUGCCCAGUGACUUAACCGUUAAACGGCCGCGGUAUCUUGACCGUGCAAAGGUAGCAUAAUCACUUGUUCUCUAAAUAAGGACUUGUAUGAAUGGCCACACGAGGGUUUUACUGUCUCUUACUUCUAAUCAGUGAAAUUGACCUCCCCGUGAAGAGGCGGGGAUAAUACAAUAAGACGAGAAGACCCUAUGGAGCUUCAAUUAAUCAAUCCAAAAGUCAAAAAAUAACACCACCAAGGGAUAACAAAAUCUUAUAUGGGUUGACAAUUUCGGUUGGGGUGACCUCGGAGUACAAAAGACCCUCCGAGUGAUUAAAACUUAGGCCUACUAGCCAAAGUGUAAUAUCACUUAUUGAUCCAAACUCUUGAUCAACGGAACAAGUUACCCUAGGGAUAACAGCGCAAUCCUAUUCUAGAGUCCAUAUCGACAAUAGGGUUUACGACCUCGAUGUUGGAUCAGGACAUCCUAAUGGUGUAGCAGCUAUUAAGGGUUCGUUUGUUCAACGAUUAAAGUCCUACGUGAUCUGAGUU
This 573-nucleotide ribosomal RNA is filed under the name Monodon monoceros (narwhal). RNAcentral describes it as "partial 16S ribosomal RNA". It matches the Rfam family "Bacterial large subunit ribosomal RNA", at positions 1806 to 2611 of the family's 2925-position model. The record is from RNAcentral. Lineage: Eukaryota; Metazoa; Chordata; Mammalia; Artiodactyla; Monodontidae.